This 540-nucleotide ribosomal RNA is filed under the name Candidatus Peregrinibacteria bacterium. Its description in RNAcentral is "bacterial LSU rRNA". It matches the Rfam family "Bacterial large subunit ribosomal RNA", at positions 2268 to 2925 of the family's 2925-position model. Lineage: Bacteria; Candidatus Peregrinibacteriota. The record is from RNAcentral.
GUUUGACUGGGGCGGUCGCCUCCCAAAGAGUAACGGAGGCGCGCGAUGGUUCCCUAGGCCUGGAUGGAAAUCAGGCUGAUAGUGUAUUCGCAUAAGGGAGCUUGACUGCAAGACCAACAAGUCGAGCAGGUACGAAAGUAGGCGAAAGUGAUCCGGUAGUAGGACGUGGGUCCGCUAUCGCUCAACGGAUAAAAGUUACGCCGGGGAUAACAGGCUAGUUGCUUCCAAGAGUUCACAUCGACGAAGCNNCGUCGUGAGACAGUUUGGCCUCUAUCUACUGUGGUUGAAGGAAAUUUGAGGGAUGCUGUCCACAGUACGAGAGGACCUGGAUGGACGAACCUCUAGUAUACCUGUUGUCGCGUCAGCGGCAGUGCAGGGUAGCUAUGUUCGGAACGGAUAACCGCUGAAAGCAUCUAAGUGGGAAACCGCUCCCAAGAAAGAUUUCCCUAUGAACCUGCCCGUAGACUACGGGUUUGAUAGGCCACAGGUGUAAGUACAGAGAUGUAUUGAGCCGAGUGGUACUAACAGGUCACUGAUUUA